AAAAAAAAAGAAGUAAGGGACAGAAGACAAGCAACUUGCCCUCUGAGGAGCUGGGUGGGGAAGGUGUUGAUGGAGCAUCCUCAGUGUCUUGUAUAAAGAGAGAGCCACUGCUGGACAACUUGUUCUAGAGACAGGAAGCUGCAUCUGAAUGUGAUGGAAGAUGUUCACGGCUGUCUUGGCAAAGGGAUGUCAGGCUUCAUACAGCUGUUUCCUCAACUGACUCAGGAAGAAAGAUUCUCACUCCUUAUAGACUUUUACUUCUUGGUGCUUGUAGUUGCAAUUCCAAGCCGUUGAAGACUUUUGCCACAGGCUCUCUGGAAGAGCUGCUGUUAAAACCUCUGCAUGUUGGCAGGUAGAUCACAGGGUUAUCUCAGUGGCCUGCAGUAAUGCUCCUGGGGACAGACACCAUCCCUUGCCUCCAGUGCUGGAUGUUGUUCCAUUCAUCCAGUGGUGUCUCCCUUACCCUGUUUUCAAGAGGGAGCCAAAAUAUGGCAUUAAUGAGGAUAUAUUAGUAUGACAACUACAGAGACCCAAAUGAGAAUAAACUGUCCAGAAUCUUGCACCAGAAAUGGAGACAAAGGGUAGCUGAAAUUCUGGAAGUUGCCCACUUUGCCUUAGAGAUCGUUGCCAGCAGCCUACAUCUGUACAACAUAUGAGCAAGUGAGAAAGUAUCUUUGAGAAGGGUGUAAUGUUGGUCCUGUGUCAAUAAUGGAUCUAGUCCAAGGUACUGAAGCAUCUGCUCUAUAUUUCAGUAUUUCAUUUCCUACUCUUGUAAGGAUAUUCAAGUAAGUGAGCAUCUACACCUAAAAGACUGCAUUUGAAAGAGUAGCUAAAAUGUGGUCACCACCAGCCAAAAUACUCGCUAUGCUAGACUGUAGUUUGGACUCUCCUUCAGGUAACGUGUCAGUCUCAGAAUCAAAUGAUCACCACAUGUAGGUCUAUAAAGCUCCUAAAUCAGCUGUGUAGAGAGGCACUCUGCAAUGGCUAUUGCUGGAUGGUUAAGUUCCAGUGCAGGUGAAUUAAAUUAUUAUUGGUUCCAA
Pezoporus flaviventris is the source of this 1040-nucleotide long non-coding RNA. RefSeq lists it as uncharacterized. The record is from RefSeq and is a predicted model, not a curated record. The transcript has 2 exons. NCBI's taxonomy places the organism in Eukaryota, Metazoa, Chordata, Aves, Psittaciformes, Psittacidae.